This 87-nucleotide transfer RNA is filed under the name Herpetosiphon sp. RNAcentral describes it as "tRNA-Leu". It matches the Rfam family "tRNA". From Rfam's summary of the family: Transfer RNA (tRNA) molecules are approximately 80 nucleotides in length. Lineage: Bacteria; Bacillati; Chloroflexota; Chloroflexia; Herpetosiphonales; Herpetosiphonaceae. The record is from RNAcentral. RNAcentral also lists the same sequence under 1 other name.
GCCGAGGUGGCGAAAUUGGCAGACGCGCUACUUUGAGGGGGUAGUGGGGGCAACCCCGUAUGGGUUCAAGUCCCAUCCUCGGCACCA